Stegodyphus dumicola is the source of this 74-nucleotide small nucleolar RNA. The record is from RefSeq and is a predicted model, not a curated record. NCBI's taxonomy places the organism in Eukaryota, Metazoa, Arthropoda, Arachnida, Araneae, Eresidae.
UAAGCCUGUGAUGAUAUAUUCUAAAAGCAUAAUUUGUUUUGUUGAUUUUAACAUGCACUACCAACUGAGGCUUG